This is a long non-coding RNA of Balaenoptera ricei (Rice's whale), 924 nucleotides long. RefSeq lists it as uncharacterized. The record is from RefSeq and is a predicted model, not a curated record. The transcript is spliced from 3 exons. Lineage: Eukaryota; Metazoa; Chordata; Mammalia; Artiodactyla; Balaenopteridae.
CCGAGCCGGGCGGCCAGGGGCCGAGGGGCGCCCGCCGCUAGCCGGAGCGCCCGGGCGCCUCCCUUUGCUCUUGGUAGCGUCGGUCCGCACUCCCUGUGACCCAGGACGUCAUGAUGCCUGUCUGUUUUCUCAAUGAUAACUUGGCAGAAGAAGAGAGAGGCUGCCAGGUUCUCCUCGGGUGGUUACGUGGCCCAGGCAGAGAGGCGGCACCCAGACGGCAAGGAGCAUCCACCCGAGGCCAGACACCCCUGCUCUCGGCUCGCACUUGCUGACUUGCAUCUCUCAGUUGCAUUCCCAGCUCUAUUUUCAUCUGAGAUAUUCACUGCCCAGGUUCAGAAGGGAGAAAAUUUUCCUUGGCAACCAGGUUCAACUGGAAAAAAUAAUCAAGAUGUCACCUGACGCUACAAGUCACCAGCUAUGUUCUCAGCUCUGUGGCCCUGCCAGAAGCUGAACCAGCAGAGGAAACUCAGCGUCAUGGAAAGAACACUAAACUUGGAGUCAGAACACAGGAGUGGGGGUCUUCUAAUUUCUACCUCUGAUGGCUUCUGCGACCCUGGACAAGUCAUUGAACUUCUUACAACCUGGAUUUCCUCUUUAAUAGCUUUCCUACCAUCCUCAGGGAAGGAUCUUUCAAGCAUUGGUGGUUAGGUAAUCGUCAAAGGGGUGCAAUGACUGGACCCAACCACACGCUUCAAAAGUCACCUUGAUGUCAAGAUGCCAGCCCCCUCCCCUCCCUGCCAGAGCCCAGCGUGGCCCAUCAGGCCUUCCUCUUUACCUCCAUCAAUGCGCUUCCACGACUAUAUUUAUCAUAUUUUAAUUAUGGUUACUACAUCUGUCUUUGCUGCUCAGCUGUAACUGCCUUUAGUGUCACACAUGUUUCUUUUUAUUCUUAGUGCCUAGCACACAGUAGGUGCUCCAUAAAUG